CGCCGGCGCGCCCGCCCCCUCCCCCCCCCCCCCCUCGCGGCGCAGCCGCCGCCGCCGCCCCCGUCUCGCUCUCCCCACCCAGUGCAGUGGCCGCCGCCUCUUCCGCCGCCGGGCUCCGGGCCUCCGCAUCGACAACAUGGAGGCUGUGAAAACCUUCAAUAGCGAGUUGUAUUCCCUGAAUGACUACAAGCCACCCAUUUCUAAAGCGAAAAUGACCCAAAUUACUAAGGCAGCCAUCAAAGCUAUAAAGUUCUAUAAACAUGUGGUACAGAGUGUUGAGAAAUUCAUUCAGAAAUGUAAACCAGAAUAUAAGGUACCUGGACUUUAUGUUAUUGACUCUAUUGUACGACAAUCUCGACAUCAGUUUGGUCAAGAAAAGGAUGUGUUUGCACCCAGAUUUAGUAAUAACAUCAUUAGCACUUUCCAGAAUUUAUACCGUUGCCCCGGAGAUGACAAGAGUAAAAUAGUGAGAGUAUUAAACUUAUGGCAGAAGAAUAAUGUAUUUAAGAGUGAGAUUAUUCAGCCUCUUCUGGAUAUGGCAGCAGGGAUUCCUCCUCCAGUUGUCACACCUGUUCUGGCCAGUACUACUGCUGCUAUGAGCAAUACCCCAGGAACUCCUGUGACACCUGUUACUCCAGCCAAUGUGGUCCAAGGUUUACCUGAUCCGUGGGUGUCUCAGAUAACAAAUACAGAUACACUUGCAGCAGUAGCUCAGAUCUUACAAAGUCCUCAAGGCCAACAGCUUCAGCAGCUAAUACAGACCCUCCAGAUACAGCAGCAGAAGCCUCAGCCCUCCAUCCUGCAAGCCCUGGACGCGGGUCUUGUCGUCCAGCUGCAGGCUCUCACGGCACAGCUUACAGCAGCAGCCGCGGCAGCCAACACCCUCAAUCCCCUAGAACAGGGGGUGUCUUUUAACAAGAAGUUGAUGGAUAGGUUUGAUUUUGGGGAAGAUUCUGAGCAUAGUGAAGAACCCAAAAAGGAGAUUCCAGCUUCUCAACUUUCUCAUGUUUCGGAAUCUGUGAACAACUCCAUCUUUCAUCAGAUAGCAGAACAACUGCAGCAGCAAAAUCUUGAACAUCUCAGACAGCAGCUCCUGGAACAGCAACAGCCUCAAAAGGCAACUCCUCAGGAUAGUCAGGAAGGAACAUUUGGGUCAGAGCAUUCUGCAUCACCAUCACAAGGGAGCAGUCAGCAGCAUUUCCUUGAACCUGAAGCAAAUUUGGAUGAUUCCAUAGAUAUUCAGCAACAGGAUAUGGAUAUAGAUGAAGUGCAAGAUGCAGUGGAAGAGGAGAUCUUUGAACAGGAAGCAAAGAAAGUGGCUGUUCGUUCAAGAUCAAGAACACACUCCCGAUCGCGUUCAAGAUCACCAAGAAAACGAAGGUCUAGGUCACGAUCUGGUUCUCGAAAGCGUAAGCACAGAAAGCGAUCACGCUCCCGCUCUAGAGAAAGAAAAAGGAAAUCAUCACGUUCAUACUCAAGUGAAAGGAGAGCCAGAGAGAGGGAGAAAGAGCGACAGAAGAAGGGAUUACCUCCAAUUAGAUCUAAAACAUUAAGUGUAUGCAGUACCACUCUGUGGGUUGGUCAGGUGGACAAGAAGGCGACACAGCAAGAUCUAACCAACCUGUUUGAAGAGUUUGGACAGAUUGAGUCCAUUAAUAUGAUUCCUCCCAGAGGCUGUGCUUAUGUCUGCAUGGUUCAUCGACAAGAUGCAUUUCGAGCUCUUCAGAAACUUAGUUCCGGGUCUUAUAAAAUUGGAUCCAAGGUCAUUAAGAUUGCUUGGGCUUUAAACAAAGGUGUAAAAACAGAAUACAAACAAUUCUGGGAUGUGGAUCUUGGAGUUACGUAUAUACCGUGGGAAAAAGUUAAAGUGGAUGACUUGGAAGGUUUUGCAGAAGGAGGCAUGAUUGAUCAGGAAACUGUAAAUACUGAGUGGGAAACGGUGAAGAGCUCAGAGCCUGUUAAAGAGCCGGCACAGACAAAUCAGAGCCCGCCUCCAGCCGAGAAGGAGACAGUGGUCACCACCCAGGCGGAGGUGUUCCCCCCGCCCGUCGCUGUGUUACAGAUUCCAGUAGCUCCAGCAGUGCCUGCGGUUAAUUUAGUGCCACCAGCGUUUCCUGUGUCAAUGCCGGUUCCUCCUCCCGGCUUCAGCCCAAUUCCUCCGCCUCCCUUUCUCCGAGCAAGUUUCAACCCUUCACAGCCACCGCCUGGUUUCAUGCCUCCUCCAGUUCCACCCCCUGUUGUACCACCACCUACUAUCCCGCCAGUAGUUCCAACGUCUUUAGUGCAGCCGCCAUUAUCUAUGACUCCAGAAACUGUGAAAGAUGUUGGAUUUGGGAGCCUUGUUUUACCAGGUGGUUCUGUUGCCAGCAGUCUUGCUACUGCCACUCUGCCAGCUGGAAAUGUUUUUAAUCCUCCAACGAAACAAGCAGAGCCUGAAGAAAAAGUACCUCAUCUUAUUGAUCACCAGAUUUCUUCUGCAGAAAGCACCAGAUCAGUGAUUCCAAAUGAUAUUUCAAGUGGCCCUGCGAUUUUAGGACAGCCACCAAAUGUGACAAACAAUUCUGGAAUUCUGGGAGUCCAAAGACCAAACGUAUCCAGUAAUAAUGAAAUUCUGGGAGUCCGGCCAUCUAAUGUUUCCAGUAGUUCUGGGAUUAUUGGACCCCAGCCACCAAAUAUUCUAAAUAACUCUGGCAUUUUGGGAUUACAGCCACCAAAUGUGUCAAGUGGUUCUGGACUUUUGGGAGUGCUCCCCCCAAAUAUGCCUAAUAAUUCUGGACUUCUCGGGGUACAGCCACCUGGUGUUCCAAGUACUUCUGGGCUUUUGGGAACACAACCACCAGCUGGGCCUCAAAACUUACCCCCUUUAAAUCUUCCUAAUCAAAGGAUGCCUGCAAUGCCAAUGUUAGACAUUCGUCCAGGACUGAUACCACAGACGCCUGGACCACGAUUCCCUUUAAUACAGCCUGGAAUUCCACCCCAGCGGGGACUCCCUCCCCCAGCAGUACUUGAUUCAGGUCUGCAUCCACCACCCCGUGGUCCUUUUCCUCCAGGAGAUAUUUUUAGUCCACCUGAAAGACCUUUUUUAGUUCCUGGAAGACAAAAUGUAGACAAUGUUCCUAACCCAGAAAAAAGGAUACCACUUGGGAAUGAUAACAUUCAGCAGGAAGGUGACAGAGAUUACCGGUUUCCUCCCAUCGAACCCAGGGAAGCCAUCAGUAGACCGCCCCCGGUGGAUGUUAGGGAUGUGGUUGGACGACCUGUCGAUCCACGAGAAGGGCCUGGAAGGCCUCCGUUAGAUGGUAGAGAUCAUUUUGGAAGACCUCCUGUGGAUAUCAGGGAGAAUCUCGUGAGGCCAGGCAUAGAUCAUCUUGGCCGAAGAGACCACUUUGGCUUUAAUCCAGAGAAGCCCUGGGGGCACAGAGAUUUUGAUGAGCGAGAGCAUCGAGUUCUACCUGUCUAUGGCGGUCCGAAAGGCUUACAUGAAGAAAGAGGUAGAUUUCGGUCUGGAAACUACCGGUUUGAUCCUCGAAGUGGUCCUUGGAACAGAGGAUUCGGACAAGAAGUUCACAGAGAUUUUGAUGACCGCAGAAGACCCUGGGAGAGGCAGAGGGACAGGGAUGACAGAGAUUUUGAUUUCUGCAGAGAAAUGAAUGGGAAUCGUCUUGGACGAGAUAGAAUUCAAAACACCUGGAUCCCCCCUCCUCAUGCUCGGGUUUUUGAGUUUUUUGAAGGGGCCACUUCUCAACGAAAAGGUGAUAACGUGCCUCAGGUUAAUGGUGAAAAUACUGAGAGACACGCCCAGCCACCACCUUUACCAGCGCAGAGUGAUCCUGAACUGUAUGAAAAACUGGCAUCUUCAAGUGAAAUAAACAAGGAGAAGAGUGACACAGUUGCUGAUAUAGAGAGUGAACCAGUGGUAGAAAGCACAGAAACUGAGGGGACAUAACCAUCACUCAGUAGGGAGAAGGGUUUAAGAGUGGAGGAGAGAAAAAUUUUAACCUCUGUGUCAUGGACAUUCUGUAUCAUUUAUCUUCAGAAACAUAACGUUCUGUAGGAGCCAUUUCCCUUCUUUACAAAUGAGCAAACUGAAGUCCACGGUCACACAGCUUUUGAUAUGUACAGGCAAGAUGAUGAAUGACGUUCUGGCAGCUUCCCGUGUCCCAGGCCCUGUAGACAUAAGUGAGACGAGCUCCAAAGUUCCAAUGUGCUCCACAUCGGAUCUUGUUUAAGGAAGCGUUAAAAGGAACCCACCGUUACCUAUUGAAGGCUCUGUGCUCUCAGACCUUGUUUCUGAUUGAAUCCAGAGGUUGCAAGCAUGCCUCCCUGUAUUACCUGUUGGAGCAGGUUUAAUUUUGUAAAUUUUAAACACAAACUCUAUGAGUUUCUAGUCCAUAAUUGUUCUUUUUGAGGAUCCACUCAGAUGAACAGUAUUGCAUCUGUAAGAGAUAUGCACUUCCACAGGACCAGAAUUUUUUUUUUUGGAAUAUAAAUGGCAACAAACUCCAGCUGUAGCAUCAUCCCGUACCAGUGAUGAGAAGGACAGAUUGCAAGGAAACUGUUCAGGGAGAAAAUGUCAUGUUGUGUUGGAACUACAGAUGACUGGAACCAUAGCUAUAGUAAACUAAGGGUUUUUUGCUUAAACACAACAUGCAAAAAACUGUGGUUCUUGACUGGUGGCUUUCAUCCAUCGUUAUUAGUCAUCUCCUUGGACAUGCAAACGUUGAACAUCUUCAAUUUUUAUUAAAAAGGAAAAGAGAUGCAGCUUUGAGAAAAUCCAGGUUCAAAGUAGUCUUCCAGGUAUCUCACCCCAGCUUUCGUGUCCUAAUCUAAUGAACAGCAGGUACCUGGUGGUAGGGGAGAAGCCUAGGGAGAGAGGAAGGAAGGGCGUCAUCCCACUGUAUUGUAAACAUACUUUAUAAGUACGUUUUUUAAUCAUUUCUUAUUCAGGCAGAGAUUAUAAAAGUUUGUUGCAAGUAUUCAGACCAGGUUCUGGGUUUUGGAAAUUAUCAGUGUUCACAAUACCUGCAGGGAAGGGGGUGGGGAAUGUGGGAAAAAACCCACAAACUCGAAUAUGAGCACUCUUUACACUUAAAAGAAUAUUUUUUAUCAUUCUUUUGUUUGGGCUCUGUCACAAAUUAAAGUGCUUGGAAUGCUGUAUCUGUGGUCUCUUGACAUUUAAUCAAUGAGAACCUAACACGUUCACAGUAUGCUGUCACGUUGGACAUUCAUAAUAAAAAUUGAAACAGA
Molecule: RNA transcript, 5247 nt
Organism: Cervus elaphus (red deer)
Lineage: Eukaryota; Metazoa; Chordata; Mammalia; Artiodactyla; Cervidae
Gene: SCAF8
Gene name: SR-related CTD associated factor 8
Exons: 22
Source: RefSeq, a predicted model, not a curated record